GACGAACGCUGGCGGCGUGCUUAACACAUGCAAGUCGAACGGAAAGGCCCUGCUUUUGUGGGGUGCUCGAGUGGCGAACGGGUGAGUAACACGUGAGUAACCUGCCCUUGACUGUGGGAUAACUUCAGGAAACUGGGGCUCAUACCGGAUAGGAGCUCCUGCUGCAUGGUGGGGGUUGGAAAGUUUCGGCGGUUGGGGAUGGACUCGCGGCGUAUCAGCUUGUUGGUGGGGUAGUGGCUUACCAAGGCUUUGACGGGUAGCCGGCCUGGGAGGGUGACCGGCCACAUUGGGAUGGAGAUACGGCCCAGACUCCUACGGGAGGCAGCGGUGGGGAAUAGUGCACUAUGGGCGGGAGCCUGAUGUAGCAACGCCGCGUGCGGGGUGACGGCCUUCGGGUUGUAAACCGCUUUCGCCUGUGACGAAGCGUUAGUGACGGUAAUGGGUAAAGAAGCACCGGCUAACUACGUG
Molecule: ribosomal RNA, 468 nt
Filed under: uncultured bacterium
Lineage: Bacteria
Description: partial 16S ribosomal RNA
Rfam family: Bacterial small subunit ribosomal RNA
Source: RNAcentral